Molecule: ribosomal RNA, 740 nt
Filed under: uncultured bacterium
Lineage: Bacteria
Description: bacterial SSU rRNA
Rfam family: Bacterial small subunit ribosomal RNA
Source: RNAcentral
UGCAAGUUGAACGCAGCAUAGAGCUUCGGCUCUAUGGCUGAGUAGCAAACGGGUGAGUAACGCGUGGGAAUCUGCCUUUUUGUGGGGGAUAACUGAGGGAAACUUCAGCUAAUACCGCAUGAGCUCUACGGAGGAAAGGCCUUAUUAGUGGUUAGUCAUUAGUAAUAUGUGAUUAGAAUGAAAAUUCUAGUUACUAAUUACUAAUAACCAAUUACUGUAUGAGGUCGCGAAAAGAGGAGCCCGCGUCAGAUUAGGUAGUUGGUGGGGUAAAGGCCUACCAAGCCAAUGAUCUGUAGCUGGUCUGAGAGGAUGAUCAGCCACACUGGGACUGAGACACGGCCCAGACUCCUACGGGAGGCAGCAGUGGGGAAUAUUGGACAAUGGGGGAAACCCUGAUCCAGCAAUGCCGCGUGAAUGAAGAAGGCCUUAGGGUUGUAAAGUUCUUUCACCUGUGAAGAUAAUGACGGCUGCAGGAGAAGAAGCCACGGCUAACUCCGUGCCAGCGUCCGCGGUAAGACGGAGGGGGCUAGCGUUGUUCCGAAUGACUGGGCGUCAAGGGUGCGUAGGCGGUUUUUUAAGUGAGGCGUGAAAGCCCUGGGCUUAACGCAGGAAUUGCGUUUCAAAGCUUGAGUACGAGAGAGGUAACUGGAAUUCCUACUGUAGAGGUGGAAUUCGUAGAUAUUAGGAAGAACACCAGUGGCGAAGGGCGGCUUACUGGCUCGUAACUGACGCUGAGGCAC